CAUCUAUCAUGCUGGGUGCUGAGGAAUGUACUCAUAGAUACCUGGUCUCUAUCCCUGUGGAGCUUACAGUUCAGUGGGGUCCAGUUAUGGGAACAUGGGUUUAAGGAGGUCUAUUCUAUUCUGGGUCAAUCUGGUUGCUCAUCCAACACCGGGCUCUCCCCAAGGCGAGCAGACUUGAACGGCAGCAACAUGGAGACAGUGAUCGGGCGAGGGCUGAAGACCACUGACGGGCUGGCAGUGGACUGGGUGGCCAGGAACCUGUACUGGACAGACACAGGUCGAAAUACCAUUGAGGCGUCCAGGCUGGAUGGUUCCUGCCGCAAAGUGUUGAUCAACAAUAGCCUGGAUGAGCCCCGGGCCAUUGCUGUUUUCCCCAGGAAGGGGUACCUCUUCUGGACAGACUGGGGCCACAUUGCCAAGAUCGAACGGGCAAACUUGGAUGGUUCUGAGCGGAAGGUCCUCAUCAACACAGACCUGGGUUGGCCCAAUGGCCUUACUCUGGACUAUGAUACCCGCAGGAUCUACUGGGUGGAUGCGCAUCUGGACCGGAUCGAGAGUGCUGACCUCAAUGGGAAACUGCGGCAGGUCUUGGUCAGCCAUGUGUCCCACCCCUUUGCCCUCACACAG
This 627-nucleotide small RNA is filed under the name Pongo abelii (Sumatran orangutan). Its description in RNAcentral is "retained intron". The record is from RNAcentral. Lineage: Eukaryota; Metazoa; Chordata; Mammalia; Primates; Hominidae.